This 406-nucleotide ribosomal RNA is filed under the name uncultured bacterium. Its description in RNAcentral is "partial 16S ribosomal RNA". It matches the Rfam family "Bacterial small subunit ribosomal RNA", at positions 30 to 526 of the family's 1533-position model. The record is from RNAcentral.
AUUGAACGCUGGCGGCAGGCCUAACACAUGCAAGUCGAGCGCGCGGAGGACGGGUGAGUAUAGUCUGGGAAACUGCCUGAUGGAGGGGGAUAACUACUGGAAACAGUAGCGAUAAUAGCAUACCAUCUGAUGUGCCCAGAGGGGAUUAGCUAGUAGUGGGGGUAAGGGCUCACCUAGGCGACGAUCCCUAGCUGGUCUGAGAGGAUGACCAGCCACACUGGAACGGAGCAACGGUCCAGACUCCUACGGGAGGCAGCAGUGGGGAAUAUUGCACAAUGGGCGCAAGCCUGAUGCAGCCAUGCCGCGUGUAUGAAGAAGGCCUUCGGGUUGUAAAGCACUUUCAGCGGGGAGGCGUUACCCGCAGAAGAAGCACCGGCUAACUCCGUGCCAGCAGCCGCGGUAAUUC